GUUCACUCGCGCGCUGAAUCGUUUGGCGCGGUUUUGAAACAACUACUUAUAUCACAAUGUAAAACGGUUAAAAGAAACUUCAGAAACGAGAGAACAAAGUGCGUGCUGAACGAAGUGGAUAUUUACCCAAACCAUUGAAAAUAAAGCUGGAAAUGUGACGAAGAAGGUUUAUUUCAACAAGAUCAACGACUCGUAGGAGGCUUGAGAGCGGGAUUAUGUUUACUUUGGAUUUCUUGGGAAUCGAUACAAACUCGGAACUGCUGAUGAUUUAAAGCAAAAGCAACAUCGGUGGUGCAAUGUUCAACUUUAUUAUGCAAAUAUGGAUCAACGUGAGGCAGUGACUACCAAUGGCCGAUCAGUUUGAGCUCCUCUUUAAAGCUGUUUGGACUCUCUGACGGCACCCAUUCACCGCAGAGGAUCCUUUGGUGAGCAAGUGAUGUGAUGCUUCUCCAAAUCAGUUCUGAUGAAGAAACAAACGUAUUUAUAUCUUGGAUGGUCUGAGGGGAUUUUCCCCCUGAUCUACAACAGAAGGUGUGAAAUGGGAGAGAUGGGGGAGAAAGAUAUUGUGGUGUGAUGAUGCUAUAACCAGAUUACAGGCUCUUCUGUGCUUCCCCUCACGAUUUUGGCCGACAAAAGUCAUUGUGAAGACCGGCUGGAAGAGGAAUGCUAAUACUCACUAUCGCUGGGAGGUGCAGAUCCUGGUCCUCUUGGAAUUGGCAGUCAUAUUCCACUUUGUUAUGCCAGUCGUGUGUCUCCACGGAUGGAGUUACUGUUGUUUGUGUGGAAGCGCCACAAGCCUCCAUAUCACCUGCUAAUCGCGUCAUUAAAACUGUAUUUAAGGGAGGACACGGCGAGACCGCUGAACAGAUAAAUCACACACUCCAUUCCAACGCGCCUGAAAUGAGUUUGGCAUUUUCCAUCUCAUUUUAUGAUUGGAGCGUACGGUUCAAGACAGCGCAUGAGUUUGCCAAGUCUGCAAUGCAAAACGCUUGUGAUGUGCCAGUGCUUCAUGAUUAGUUAACCUUUUUCACAUUUCAAAAUGCUCUUGACUUUUACA
Labeo rohita (rohu) is the source of this 1057-nucleotide long non-coding RNA. RefSeq lists it as uncharacterized. The transcript is spliced from 5 exons. Lineage: Eukaryota; Metazoa; Chordata; Actinopteri; Cypriniformes; Cyprinidae. The record is from RefSeq and is a predicted model, not a curated record.